CAACGGUUGGAGCGGCGAAACAAAGCGGAUAUAAUAUGACGCGAAGAAAACAGACCAUGGCGAAUCAUUUUAUCUACAAAGAAAAUCUGACCAUGUUUAGGCUAGCAGAGAUCGCUUAGCUGCGUCUGAUUGCGGCCCCUUUGCGUGGUCACGCACGUCCGUGCACGUGCGUCAAAACCAUGAAGCAAUGGAGCGCCACUUGCCCCCGAGGAUCUGGGAGCUCUGGACACGGUUCAGACGGUGGAGCCGCGGAGGCAGACAGCGGUGGCAGCCGGAGGGGGAAGUUGCUGUGCACGGUCGUCCACCUAGGCGUUGGAGGACUCGCUUUGAGCGAGCCACUUCCCACGUUCUGGAAGUUGGCCCCCCCACCUCUGGCAUUGAGGACUCAGGCUCCACAGUGGAAGGGACCAGUGAGGACUUAGCGGUUGGGGAAACCAACGAGGCUCCUAGCAGCGGCAGCAGCAGCAGCACACCUGGUAGAGGUAGGGAGGACAGUGAUGAGGAGGGGGCUGCUCCCAAAAGACCAUGUUUUACUGUGAGACACUGUGUCACACAGUAA
Molecule: long non-coding RNA, 559 nt
Filed under: Betta splendens (Siamese fighting fish)
Lineage: Eukaryota; Metazoa; Chordata; Actinopteri; Anabantiformes; Osphronemidae
Description: lncRNA (ENSBSLG00000016262.1)
Source: RNAcentral